GUGGGGAAUAUUGGACAAUGGGCGCAAGCCUGAUCCAGCAAUGCCGCGUGGGUGAAGAAGGUCUUCGGAUCGUAAAGCCCUUUCGACGGGGACGAUGAUGACGGUACCCGUAGAAGAAGCCCCGGCUAACUUCGUGCCAGCAGCCGCGGUAAUACGAAGGGGGCUAGCGUUGCUCGGAAUUACUGGGCGUAAAGGGCGCGUAGGCGGUCAUUUUAGUCAGGCGUGAAAUUCCCGGGCUUAACCUGGGGACUGCGCUUGAUACUGGGUGACUUGAGGGUGGAAGAGGGUCGUGGAAUUCCCAGUGUAGAGGUGAAAUUCGUAGAUAUUGGGAAGAACACCGGUGGCGAAGGCGGCGACCUGGUCCAUUACUGACGCUGAGGCGCGACAGCGUGGGGAGCAAACAGG
RNAcentral lists this ribosomal RNA (405 nucleotides) under uncultured bacterium. RNAcentral's name for it is "bacterial SSU rRNA". It matches the Rfam family "Bacterial small subunit ribosomal RNA", at positions 354 to 776 of the family's 1533-position model. RNAcentral also lists the same sequence under 1 other name. The record is from RNAcentral.